AGGGUUCUUAAAAAGGUCUUUAACAAAGAUAUGGGCCAAACAACAUCAAAGUUUUUGAAAUCUUCACUAAUGCAAUGUUCCUUCCAUUAAGGUAUACAAAAAUAAAAAUUUGCAUCAAAUCUUACAUCUUUUAAUCAGAAAUGAUCAGUAAAUUUCGAUAAAAAUUUGAGUUAAUUUGAAAAAGGACUUGCCUGGCGAAGAUGGCCUGAAGUAUGAAUAGCCAAAUCUUCUUCAAUGGAGUGCUUGUAGCGGUUGAUAUAGGCACGCCUCACAUUAAAGAGCUCUUCAGGGGAAAGAACAGAGGAAAUUUCCACAAUCACAUUGUAGUUUUUUCCACUCUUUAUAGCAACAUGGACCAAAACAGCGUCACGAUCAGCAGGCUCCAAUAUCCAACGGUACACAGCUUUCUGUUCAUUAAAAUAAAAUUUCAAAAUUUUACAUAUAUUAAUUUAAGAAAAUGAAUUAAUUGAAUGUUAUUUAUAAAAUUGACAAAAUUGACUUUGAUACUAAAUUACUAAUAUGCACCUCAAAAUCUCCUUUGAUCUCAGACUCCAAGCGUUUGACAAGAUCCUCAUGAUAAAUGUCCUCAUAAGAUUUUCUAAUUAAUUGUAUCUGAUGUGAGGUUCUGUGACCCAGUAUUGAUAUCACAGUGUUUUCAUCAGUUCCCCAUCCUACAAUAUUGAACAUAUAUAAUACAAUCAACUAAAUUUUGAGCACCCCAUUAUUUAAUUAAAGAUUACAUAAGAGUAUCAGAUUCAUAGAAAAAAAAAAGUAACAAAGUAUGCAAAUUAAAUAGCCAAAUCAGUAUGCAAAUUUGUCAACAACAAAAAUGAUGAUAGGGGAAGAUCACAC
RNAcentral lists this long non-coding RNA (852 nucleotides) under Cicer arietinum (chickpea). RNAcentral's name for it is "long non-coding RNA (CARI_LNC002460)". Lineage: Eukaryota; Viridiplantae; Streptophyta; Magnoliopsida; Fabales; Fabaceae. The record is from RNAcentral.